This is a long non-coding RNA of Eleginops maclovinus (Patagonian blennie), 696 nucleotides long. RefSeq lists it as uncharacterized. The transcript is spliced from 3 exons. NCBI's taxonomy places the organism in Eukaryota, Metazoa, Chordata, Actinopteri, Perciformes, Eleginopidae. The record is from RefSeq and is a predicted model, not a curated record.
CUGAAACAGGUAGGAUUCUUAUAGUGUCCAGCCUGAAAAGAACUGGAGCAGAUUGUCCCUAAAAGGUGUGUUGGUCAAAAUCAUUUGGCAUUUUCCGAGGGAACAAGAUCAAGGGAAGAUGAGGACUGGUUACACAUCACAUUUGAUUUGAUUAAUUUCAAUGAGUCCGCGCUGUUCCUCUGUUUGUGUUCACUGAUCAACUCAACUCCCUACACGCGUGAGUGAAUGGAGGCUGGACUGAAGUGAAAUCCCCCACAGCUCGUCCAGUGUGGGAUCAAGGCUGCAUUUAAUUUACCGUUUUAAGACAUGGGGAACGGACUUUACGGAGGGGACUCGAAUGCAGCGUAUGGUGUUGGUAGUGUCUUUGUGUUCCCCGCCCUCAUUUGAAACUGGAGGCGUAUACAUAUCAAAAACAAUGUGCUGCCCAGUUUAUAUUUUGCUGCUCCUGGAUGAUCAAAAAAACUUUCAAAAAACACUGAUUAUGAGUCGGUCAAUAAUUUGAAUGGAUUGAAUCUCAGUGCUUAAUUAUUUACAAUAUGCAUCAUCUUAUUUGUCUGAAAUGAUGAGUUAGAGCACACUGAUAAUGCCUGAUUUACAUGAAAAAGUCAUUAGGGUGUUGUUGCUGUUUGUAUCAAUAGUUUUGCAGUCUCCAUGUUAUAUGCAUGUCUCCAUGUUAUAUGCAUGUCUCCAUGCCUA